Molecule: ribosomal RNA, 429 nt
Filed under: Bacteroidota bacterium
Lineage: Bacteria; Pseudomonadati; Bacteroidota
Description: Bacteroidetes bacterium partial 16S ribosomal RNA
Rfam family: Bacterial small subunit ribosomal RNA
Source: RNAcentral
UAGGGAAUCUUCCGCAAUGGACGCAAGUCUGACGGAGCAACGCCGCGUGAGUGAAGAAGGAUUUCGGUUCGUAAAACUCUGUUGUUAGAGAAGAACAGCGCAUAGAGUAACUGUUAUGCGUGUGACGGUAUCUAACCAGAAAGCCACGGCUAACUACGUGCCAGCAGCCGCGGUAAUACGUAGGUGGCAAGCGUUGUCCGGAUUUAUUGGGCGUAAAGCGAGCGCAGGCGGUCAAUUAAGUCUGAUGUGAAAGCCCCCGGCUCAACCGGGGAGGGUCAUUGGAAACUGGUUGACUUGAGUGCAGAAGAGGAGAGUUGAAUUCCAUGUGUAGCGGUGAAAUGCGUAGAUAUAUGGAGGAACACCAGUGGCGAAGGCGACUCUCUGGUCUGUAACUGACGCGGAGGCUCGAAAGCGUGGGUAGCAAACAGG